This is a non-coding RNA of Pelobates cultripes (western spadefoot toad), 274 nucleotides long. The record is from the annotation of a GenBank genome assembly. NCBI's taxonomy places the organism in Eukaryota, Metazoa, Chordata, Amphibia, Anura, Pelobatidae.
CUACCAAAAACCUUCAUGUUUUUUUUUUUAACAGUCUAUAUGCACUUUACCUGAAUAAAGAAAACAUUAAAAAAACAAAGUGCACACAAUGCAUCAGACUGCAUUCUACUAAUUUCAGAACUUAAUUUUCUCUUGAUACUUAUAGGUGGAUGUUGAUAGUUUCUCCAUGUCUGGGGACUGAUAUGCCUAACACAGAGUAGUAGGUCUCACUAUGCUCACGCUAAUGUACAUGUUUCCUGUUCAUGAAAACUGGCUGAUCAAGGCAUUCUUGACU